Molecule: ribosomal RNA, 444 nt
Filed under: uncultured bacterium
Lineage: Bacteria
Description: SSU rRNA
Rfam family: Bacterial small subunit ribosomal RNA
Source: RNAcentral
AGAACGAACGCUGGCGGCAGGCCUAAUACAUGCAAGUCGAGCGCCCAGCAAUGGGAGCGGCGGACGGGUGAGCAACACGUGGGAACAUGCCCUUCGGUACGGAACAACUCAGGGAAACUUGAGCUAAUACCGCAUACGCCCCGCAAGGGGGAAAGAUUUAUCGCCGAAGGAUUGGCCCGCGUCCGAUUAGCUAGUUGGUGAGGUAAAAGCCCACCAAGGCACCGAUCGGUAGCUGGUUUGAGAGAACGACCAGCCACACUGGGACUGAGACACGGCCCAGACUCCUACGGGAGGCAGCAGUAGGGAAUCUUGGACAAUGGGGGAACCCUGAUCCAGCCAUGCCGCGUGGAUGAUGAAGGCCUUAGGGUUGUAAAGUCCUUUUAACGGGGAAGAUAAUGACGGUACCCGUAGAAUAAGCCCGGCUAACUUCGUGCCAGCAGCCGC